AAUAGAUACCCCGGUAGUCCACGCCGUAAACGAUGAGUGCUAAGUGUUAGAGGGUUUCCGCCCUUUAGUGCUGCAGCUAACGCAUUAAGCACUCCGCCUGGGGAGUACGGCCGCAAGGCUGAAACUCAAAGGAAUUGACGGGGGCCCGCACAAGCGGUGGAGCAUGUGGUUUAAUUCGAAGCAACGCGAAGAACCUUACCAGGUCUUGACAUCCUCUGCCAACCCUAGAGAUAGGGCGUUCCCCUUCGGGGGACAGAGUGACAGGUGGUGCAUGGUUGUCGUCAGCUCGUGUCGUGAGAUGUUGGGUUAAGUCCCGCAACGAGCGCAACCCUUGAUCUUAGUUGCCAGCAUUCAGUUGGGCACUCUAAGGUGACUGCCGGUGACAAACCGGAGGAAGGUGGGGAUGACGUCAAAUCAUCACGCCCCUUAUGACCUGGGCUACACACGUGCUACAAUGGAUGGUACAAAGGGCUGCAAGACCGCGAGGUCAAGCCAAUCCCAUAAAACCAUUCUCAGUUCGGAUUGUAGGCUGCAACC
Molecule: ribosomal RNA, 537 nt
Filed under: uncultured bacterium
Lineage: Bacteria
Description: bacterial SSU rRNA
Rfam family: Bacterial small subunit ribosomal RNA
Source: RNAcentral